RNAcentral lists this ribosomal RNA (831 nucleotides) under uncultured bacterium. RNAcentral describes it as "bacterial SSU rRNA". It matches the Rfam family "Bacterial small subunit ribosomal RNA", at positions 1 to 813 of the family's 1533-position model. The record is from RNAcentral.
UCGAUUGUUUGAUCAUGGCUCAGAAUGAACGCUGGCGGCGUGCUUAACACAUGCAAGUCGAGCGAGGCCAGGGGGGCAACUCCCUGAGUCGAGCGGCGGACGGGUGAGUAACACGUGGGUAACCUACCCGGAAGUGGGGAAUACCUCGGGGAAACUCGAGCUAAUACCGCAUAACAUCUUUGGGACGAAAGUCCUGACGAUCAAAGCGGGGUCGCAAGAUCUCGCGCUACCGGAUGGGCCCGCGCCCGAUUAGCUAGUUGGUGAGGUAAUGGCUCACCAAGGCGACGAUCGGUAACCGGCCUGAGAGGGCGAUCGGUCACACCGGAACUGAGACACGGUCCGGACUCCUACGGGAGGCAGCAGUGGGGAAUCUUGCGCAAUGGGCGAAAGCCUGACGCAGCAACGCCGCGUGGAGGAUGAAGGCCCUUGGGUUGUAAACUCCUGUCGGCUGGGAAGAAGUCGUUCGCGGUUCAUACCCGCGAGCGUUGACUGUACCAGCAAAGGAAGCCCCGGCUAACUCUGUGCCAGCAGCCGCGGUAAUACAGAGGGGGCUAGCGUUAUUCGGAAUUAUUGGGCGUAAAGGGCGCGUAGGCGGCCAUGCGUGUCUUCCGUGAAAUCCCUCGGCUCAACCGAGGACGUGCGGAAGAAACUGCAAGGCUCGAGUCCGGAAGAGGGGGGCGGAAUUCCCAGUGUAGCGGUGAAAUGCGUAGAUAUUGGGAGGAACACCAGUGGCGAAGGCGGUCCCCUGGGCCCGGAACUGACGCUGAGGCGCGAAAGCGUGGGUAGCAAACGGGAUUAGAUACCCCGGUAGUCCACGCCGUAAACGAUGGG